This 466-nucleotide ribosomal RNA is filed under the name uncultured bacterium. Its description in RNAcentral is "partial 16S ribosomal RNA". It matches the Rfam family "Bacterial small subunit ribosomal RNA", at positions 29 to 506 of the family's 1533-position model. The record is from RNAcentral.
ACGAACGCUGGCGGCGUGCUUAACCCAUGCAAGUCGCACGGAAAGGCCCUGCUUUUGUGGGGUGCUCGCGUGGCGAACGGGUGAGUAACACGUGAGUAACCUGCCCUUGACUUUGGGAUAACUUCAGGAAACUGGGGCUAAUACCGGAAAGGAGCUCCUGCUGCAUGGUGGGGGUUGGAAAGUUUCGGCGGUUGGGGAUGGACUCGCGGCUUAUCAGCUUGUUGGUGGGGUAGUGGCUUACCAAGGCUUUGACGGGUAGCCGGCCUGAGAGGGUGACCGGCCACAUUGGGACUGAGAUACGGCCCAGACUCCUACGGGAGGCAGCAGUGGGGAAUAUUGCACAAUGGGCGGAAGCCUGAUGCAGCAACGCCGCGUGCGGGAUGACGGCCUUCGGGUUGUAAACCGCUUUCGCCUGUGACGAAGCGUGAGUGACGGUAAUGGGUAAAGAAGCACCGGCUAACUACGU